RNAcentral lists this long non-coding RNA (13425 nucleotides) under Coffea arabica (coffee). RNAcentral describes it as "long non-coding RNA (CARA_LNC007546)". The record is from RNAcentral. Lineage: Eukaryota; Viridiplantae; Streptophyta; Magnoliopsida; Gentianales; Rubiaceae.
UUUGAAACACCAUGAAGUUCACCUACACUUUGUCCCUUCUGGUUUUGUGCCUAACUUUGUACUUAACCUUCACCAAUGCUGCAAAUUUCAACAUUAUAAACCAAUGUACCUACACAGUUUGGGCAGCUGCUUCCCCAGGCGGUGGCAGGCGGCUCGACCGAGGCCAAUCAUGGUCCCUAAACGUGGCUCCUGGCACCACCCACGCUCGCAUUUGGGGCCGAACCAAUUGCAACUUUGAUGCCAAUGGCCGAGGCCAAUGUCAAACAGGUGACUGCAACGGGGGCCUCGUAUGCCAAGGCUAUGGAAAGCCUCCGAAUACACUAGCUGAAUUCGCCCUAAACCGGCCUAACAACGUAGACUACAUCGACAUUUCCAACGUUGAUGGAUUCAACAUCCCAAUGGAGUUCAGCUCCGUUACUCGUUGCCGUAAUAUCAGAUGUUCAGCGCCUAUUGUUGAUCAAUGCCCAGCUAAGCUAAGAACUCCAGGUGGAUGCAACAAUCCCUGCACUGUCUUUAAAACAAAUGAGUUCUGUUGCACCAAUGGCCCAGGAAGCUGCCGCCCGACCGACUUCUCCAGGUUCUUUAAGAGCAGGUGCCCUGAUGCUUAUAGCUAUCCUCAAGAUGAUCCCACAAGCUUGUUUACUUGCCCAAGUGGUACAAAUUAUAGGGUUGUCUUCUGCCCUUAAAUAAAGCUAGAUAUUUAAGGUUCUUGUGACAGCUUAUAUGCUCCAAGAACUUCACUAGAAAAGUAGAUUAUGAGAAAUAAACGCAUAUGUGAACCUUCUGGUAAUGGUUCACUGGAAUUGGGAUAAAUUUGAGCACAUAUAGCAUUGUGCGGUUUGUCUUCUUUAUCAGCUUUUUGGCUUUAUAAACUACUUAUGAACUAGAUGACCAGUUCAAAACUAAUGAAGUUUUACUAAAUUAAUCAGUAAGAAGGAUUUACGGAUCUCUAGUUUUAAAUUAGAUUGUCAAAAUACUUUGUUCCCCACACUUCGAAAAUUUGAGUCAUGUUUAGGUUUAACUUACAUAGGAGAAUUCCUUUUUUUUUUUUUUUCUGAAAUUCAGACCAUCUCUCCAGUCAAAUACUAAGAUGUCAUAUAAAUCAAAUUAAUUUGUUUAAGUGUAUUACACAAUCAUACUUCAUGUAUAUAAAUGUUACCACAAAAUCAAGAGUAAGAAAAGUUUGUCUUGCAACUAUUCAAGAAAUGGAAGCUUGGUGUAAAUUCAAAACAAAAAUGGAGAUUUCUAUACUAAGGUAAACCCCAAAAUAAUUGAAAAUGAUAAUCUCAUGAAAUAACAAAGAUGGUGAGAUGAAAGAUUACUAAGUAAGAUAAAGGUGCGAUUAAGGCGUUCAAUCGAGGAAACUUGUAGAUGCCAAAUUGACAAUUUGAUGCACAUAUGCUUAAUAGUAUUCAAGUGUUCAUUCUUAAAAGUUGGAAUUGGGCCAAUAUUGUAAUUCAGCCCGGUUGUAUAUUUAUUACAUUAUACUGUUAUAUUCAUGGAAACAGUGAUGUAAAUGAAUAAAACAUUUCAUCUACAGUGAAUAUAAUAUUAGGGUAAAUUAUUUAUAAUUCUUCUGUAAUUUUAUAUAAUGUCAGACGAUCUCCCAUAUGUUUCAAAAUAGUCACAUCACCCCCUAUGAUUUUAUGUAAAGCAGAGAAUAAAUAAAAAGUACUAUCAAUUACAAUGUGUAUACCAAACGUGCUCUAAAAAUAUGUGUCAUAAAAUCUUAGUUUUCAUGUAAUCCACUUAUGAGAUGUAUAAUUAUCCACUUUACCUCCUAUAAUUUUUGUAUUUAUCCAAAUAAUCCCCUAUGCUUUUAUAUAAGAUAGUUAAACUGUCAAUUGAUUUAGCAUUUAUACAAGGGCACUAUUAAUAUGUUAAUUAAUAGUCGUCCAAGCAACCAUCAAGACACAGCCAACAGAACAAGCUAUUAGCAACUCAAAUUUUAUCAAUCAUUACAUGUACUAGAGCUUAAUUGGCAAGGAAGAAGUGAAUUUACUUGGCUUUUAAUUCGUUCUUUAUCCUCGAAGCAGUCUUUGCAUAUCUACCAGAGGGAAUUUUGUCAAUGUAUUAACUGCAUUUCCCUGCUUCACUAAUGGUUAGAACAUAAAUAAAGCAAGGUGUUCUGGAACAACGUCAAAUCAAACAUAAAACCAAUUUAUGCAUGACAAGGGCAGAAAUUAAGGUCAAUACAUGCUGCUAAAUUUACUCCAUUACCAAGGACAACUUCACCGAUGAUCUUGGGAUUUGUAGUAGUUGUUGCGAUGGUGAACAACCAUGGUGCUGUACUUGUAAUCUGUCCUUGUACAAGACCAUUAUUUCCUGCCGAUUACAGUAAGUAUUCCCUUCUGUGCUGCAUGAAAAGAUCCAAUUGCUAUAGAAUUAUCUUUCAAUCAACCGGAUAAUUGAAACCAAUUAAAAUUGUAAUAAUGUCUACUCCAUCGGCUAUAGCAUCGUUGAAUCAAGCCAAUAUAUCAGCAUCAUCACAGCAUGGAAAAGCACAAGCAUUGUAUACAGCAUUCCUUGCUGCAGGCGCCCCUCCUCGUAUAGUACCUUCUACAAUUCCAUAGUAACUCACAUCCAUGACAAUGUUUCCUGCAGCUGUGUGCGUUCCAUUAUGACCCUAUAAAUCUGUUGCAGAAUCUGAUACAUGGUACCGAGCUCCAAUAAUUUUUCUGUAGACAUGUACACAUCAAAAUGAUAAUCGAAGUUUCCCAUUCAACAUUUCCUAUGUAAACUAACAAAAAGUAGAAACUUUUCCUGUUGCACAUGAAAUCAAUCCCGCCGUAACACACUCCUUUCCAUUUGCUGGGAAUAGGACCAAAACUUUGUUCACGAAAACUCUCUGAUUCUGGCCAAAUUCCAGAAUCAAGUAACUCCUAUGACUAUAUCACUCUCAAAUGCAAGAUUUCGGGGGGCACUUAUAGGAAAACAAAUAAAGUCGCACGAUGCUGUUGUAUAAGUUGAAGCCUUUUGCUUGGAAAUAUAGAAACCACAUGAUCAUGAGCUGCAAAUUUAGUUAAGAACUCACACAUUAGUGGAAGAUUAAUAGAUUUCAAAAAUCAGGAAAGUUGAAAGAGACUAACGUUGCAAAAUUGCACAGACCAGCCAACUUUUGCUGCUCUUGCUUUGUAAGGUAGGCUGAAAAUCCAUUGAAACUCCUAGUAUAACUUCUUCCCAAGAUUUCCCCUUGAUAAUUUCCAUGACAUAAAGAAAAAGAAAUAAAUAAUGUUAUAAAAAAGUUUUUUUUAUGCAUCAAUUGGUAUGUAGUAUAAGUUUGUGGGCACUGAAUAUAUGCAUUAAUUGCUAUCUUAAGCUUCUUCCAGGAUACUAACAUGGUGCUCGGAAGCUGAAUAUUCUCUUUCAGGAUGCGAUUCCACGUAAACUGUAAACCUGUCAUCAAGUAAAAGAAAACUAUCAUUUCUUGACUUGCUGCAUGUUAUUGAAUUUGAACGCUUCAGUUAUGCGACAGUUAUAUUUAUCGUGUAAAAUGUUGUAGUUAUGAUCACUACAUUGAAGUACAAUGCUGCAAAUUCAAUAUAUUACCCGAUACGCAUUAAUCAAAGAAAAUUAAUCUUUUACAGAAAUGAAAAGAGAAGAUAUCAAUGGCACUAUUGCCAAUACUGAUGGGCAACAUAUCCAGUUCUAUAGGCAACAUUAGCCAUUGUUUUCAGGAAUUACAUUUUCUAGCUCCAACUAUAUAUUGUUACUUAUGUUCCUUAAUGUAUGUUAAUCUCUAUUAGUACAUUUUUUCAGACCUAAAAGAUUUCUGGGUCGUACAAUACGAAAUCAAAAGGUGAUGUGUACAAAUGGUCCUUAGAAAGGGUAAGCCUGUCUCUUAGGACUUAAAUACAAGGAUCAAAGAUGCAUGUCCCAUUUUGUGCAUAAUUAAUAUCAAAAACCAACCUGAUUUGUUUAGAAAAGUUUGUUAAAACAAUGCAACAUUACCUUUAGUCAAAAAUCGUGGGCUAUUGUUGCAUUUAUGAGUUACAUAAAAGUCAUCCAUACAGGCAGAAGAAAUCCAGCAUUUCUUGCGGCUUUGGAGUGCUUCGUUUUUACUCAUGCUUGUAUCUUGAGCCAGAUUUGAUAUCUCAAGAAUGAGACUCUGAUAAGAUUAGAGUAAGUAUGCUCAAGAUUUGAAGCGAGGCUCAACUUAGUAAUGUUUUGUGCAAGAUUAUUUGUGAGUGUUGUUAUUUUAUACAUUUUUUUAGUGUAAUGUAUUAUUUGUUUGCCUUUAUUAUCAGUAGACUUAAUCCAUUAAUUUGGUAAAUCCACCACAAUCUAACAAAGCUCUGUUACUCGGGGAGUCCCAUGGACACAGUACCCGUACAAAAUAAAGAUUCCAACAUAGAUAUGGGAGGGCAAAAUAGAGAGUCUGAAAAACAUAAUAGAAAAGCUUGAGAAGGGAAGUGGAUAAUGGACCAAUGAGAACAAGAAAAUAAAACAAUUAAACCCUAAUAUUUAUUCUCAUCCACUUAUUGAGUAGAAGGAUCAUGUCAUGAAAUCAAAAGAUUAUGGAAUAACUUGUAACAAAAUAUUUUUCCCGUAAUGAUAUACUAUAUCCCAUAUGAUUGAAGAAAAAGAAAAAUGACUUGCCUGACUUUCUUCACCAGAAUGGUGCAUAAUAGGCUCAUUAGAAUUGCUAAUACAAAUAAGAAACAAAAUGCUAUAAACCCAAAAGAGUAGUACAGCGACCCUAAAACAUGCUUUAACUUUUCCUUAAAGUUGUGACUCAAAUAUUUAAGAUCACAACAAAGUUCUCAUUUCAAUUGUUCUAAAUGCAACAACGAGCUGCAUGCAUAUUGACUUGUCUUGCUACAUUGAUUAAUAGUUUUUAACGUUGGAAAGGAAACACAAAAAAUUUAAGCUAUAGUGAUGAUUGAGUAAUAUUUCUGAGAUCUGAAUUAAAAUGUGUAAUACCUUUCCUAUUUCGGAUGGUAUGAAUUAUGCGUUAUGUUUCUUGUAGGGAGAUGUAAGUUGGCCUACCUACCUUCCAUUUUUGCCUAUAAAAGAAAUUUUUUGUUCAAUAUAAUACUGGAACUAAUAAGAAUUAGAAAAGUAUUUCUAUUUCCAGUCAAAGAAAAUUGAGACGUCAAAACCAGAAACCUUAUUGUAACUUGAAUGUUUGUGAUGUCUUUUGUAAGCAUUAUUUUCCAUUCAGUUGGUACUAGCUUAAUUAUCUUUAGUAAGGUUCUAUUUGAUAAUUUAACUCAGCACUCAAACUUAAUGGGUUCAGAUCAUAAUAUGUUCAAACGCAUUUGAUAACUAAAAAUAAGACAUUUGAAUUAAUUAAGUGACACUGAAUUUUGCACAAUUUAUUUCAAAAAUAAGUGAUAAAUUAUUCAAGUAUCACUUAAUGUGAUAUACAUUUAAAUGUUUCAGAUUUAAUACUCAACAAUUCAGUAAAUUAACGAAUUUAGACUUUAGAUUUCAAAUUUCAUUUUUCAAACUUUAGUUUUAUCAAACGUACCCUAAGGGUGUGUUUGAUAAAACUGAAGUCUGAAUCUAUUAAAUUAUUGAAUUUUUAAGUAUUAAAUCUAAUACAUUUGACUGCAUAUCACAUUCAGUAAUAAGUGAAUAGCUUAUCACUUAAUUUUGGGAGCAAAUUUUGCCUAGAAAAUUUAAUACUAUUUAAUUAAUUCAGAUGUUAAAUUUUUUAUUAUCAAAUGGUCUGAAUAUAUUAAAAAUUGAAUCCAUUAAGUUUAAAUGCUGAAUUGGAUUAUCAAACAGAAUCUAAGUCUAUUAAGGGGAUUGAACCAAUAAAUUUGAUGAGUUUCAGUUUAACAAUAUAUUUAACAAAUUAUCACUGCCCAAUAAGGGCCCAUCUAAAAACACUUGAAACAAGUGCAUGCUUGUUUGGUGAUUUCCGGCUGGGCUCCCGCUGCUCUUGCAGUGUCCAUUAACGAAUUCCUAUUGUCAAUUUUGGGUCGUAUAUCCACCAGCCCAUGGAAUUUAUUUACAAAGGGAAAUCCUUUUAAGUUGUGAAUUUAAUUAGUAUAACGAGAAAUAAUUUGAGAAAAUUACAACAAAGUACAAACCAUAUGUGCAAGUUUUCUCAAACACAUACCAAUUAUGAAUAGCUUAAGAAAUGAUGAAUAAAUCAUCUUUUUCAGCUUUUCUUUUUGGCCCAUUGUUAAAUCUUCUUUGUUCCCUCAACAAAAAAAAAAAGAAGAAAGAAAUAAACUUCAUCUUUUUAAUUAGUGAAUAAAAUGUAUAUGAAGAGAAAAAGAUAAUUAAAUAUCUUAAUACUAAAACAUAAUGCUACUUAAGAAGUUUCAAAAAUUUUGGUAUCAGUUAGUGAUAAUAAUUUCUCCUAACGCAUUCUUUUAUCUACUACAAAAAAAAAACGUUAUAACUUAUUAUAAAAACCAUCCAAAAUCACAUUGAUUCUUAAGUAUUCCCCUUUCUCCUUGUAAGGGAUGAAUUGCAUCCAAAUCAGGUUCCUUACAAGUGGCUAGCACCCUAAUGGCCUAAUCCAUGGAAGCCAUAUUACAAAAGUGGACUACAAAAGCUAGGGGAAUAUAAUUUCCCAUACUUCUUAUUGUAAUCAUUCCCAAUUUACCUUGGCAUAUACUGGUUUGUUACAAGACUUCAAUCGCUAGCUCUGAACCUCUGGCUAGUAUGUAAUGGCAGAUUAUCUACUAGGAUCAGAGGCAGUUACUAGAUUGGAAAUCAAUACCAGACUAGUAGUGCCCUUUAUCUUGUUGCUUUUGUAUCAUUGGGUUCUUGAAAACAAAAGGCUAGAGAAUCACACCGGGCACAAGUUGCAGUAAAUGAAUUUUGAUUGAACAUGAAUUUAGCAUUUUACCCACCUCAAAUGCUAUUCUGGAAAGUUGCCAAAACUGAAGUUUAAGCUCAAAAAACUGCUUGAACACUGCCCCAAACAGGGCCUUUUUUUUUUUUUUUUUUUUUUUUUUAAAAACUACUUGAGUAAGUUCUACGAAAUCCAGGACUAGAAACUCUUGUUCCACUUGAUACGCUGAUUGUCUUGAUGCCAUUUGCCUAACUUCUGAGUGGAUCGGGACUGGAGAAGGAAGACAAACGCAUGUGUGGCCUUCAUUUAUGCCCCGUCUGCUGCUUCAGAAUCUAGUUGCAGUUCCCGUCUAAGAGGAAGAAUCUAAAGGACAAAGAAACAAGCAGAAGACUUUAGUAGUCAUGAAAUUAUCAUUAGUCUCCUCAGGGCUGGAAUUUGAAAAAAACCCUGAAUACUAACAUGUUGAUAUUGGCUACCCAGAACAGAAAGUUAUCGCUAAAAUAAUUACAAGCUAAUACCAUCAUUUCUAAUUUUGAACUUACGUUUCAGUGUAUCUAAUCCUUAUUAAUUUGUAUAAUUGCUAAUUCUUUCUACUAAUUAAGUCAAAAGAGAAUUGUUUUGAAUGAUCUUUUUUCUUUUUCGAAAAUUGUAAUAUAAUAUUUUGAUCAUAAGCGCAUUUGAGAUUUUCAAAGAUGUUAGAUAGUGAUUCUUGAAAACAACGAAAAACUCCACCCAAACAGAUAAGCCAUGUCUGUAUCUUUUUUCUAUCUUUCUUAGAGGUAAUCCACGAAUUGGACACUAACUAAGAAAACAUCAUAACAUUGACAUAUUAGAACACUGAAGUUCACAUUACCAGAAGAAUAAAAAAUGAGGGAUGAGAACUGACUGAAAUUAUGCAGGAGGAUUAUUGAGAGAGAAGCAUCUUCGAAUCAUUCCUAGAAUACAAGACAAGACCAUCAACAUCUCUGAAAUUUCUCAUGUAGAAAAUUUGUUAAGAAGAUUAACAUGUACGCGCAAAAUGAUAGCAGCCAAUCGCCCUAUAUAAACCCCCAAGCUGUGGCAUCUUGAAACCACAACCAGCUACCAGUUCACUUAGAAUUUUUGAAACACCAUGAAGUUCACCUACAUUUUGUCCCUUUUGGUUUUGUGCCUAACUUUAUACUUCACUUUCGCCAAUGCUGCAAAUUUCAACAUCACAAACAAAUGUACCUACACAGUUUGGGCAGCUGCUUCCACAGGUGAUGGCAGGCAACUCGACCGAGGCCAAUCAUGGUCCCUAGAUGUGGCUCCUGGCACCACCAAAGCUCGCAUUUGGGGCCGAACCAAUUGCAAAUUUGAUGCCAAUGGCCAGGGCCAAUGUCAAACAGGUGACUGCAACAAGCGCCUCAAAUGCCAAGGCUAUGGAAAUCCACCAAAUACGCUAGCUGAAUUUGCCCUAAACCAGCCUAACAACUUAGACUACAUCGACAUCUCCAACGUUGAUGGAUUCAACAUCCCAAUGGAGUUCAGCUCUGUAACUCCGUGCCGCGUUAUCAAAUGUUCGAAACCUAUUGUUGAUCAAUGCCCAGCUCAGCUAAGAACUCCAGGUGGAUGCAACAACCCCUGCACUGUUUUUAAAAGAAAUGAGUACUGCUGCACCAAUGGCCCAGGAAGCUGUGGCCCGACCGACUUCUCCAGGUUCUUUAAGAGCAGGUGCCCUGAUGCUUAUAGCUAUCCUCAAGAUGAUCGCACAAGCUUGUUUGCUUGCCCAAGUGGUACAAAUUAUAGGGUUGUCUUCUGCCCUUAAAUAAAGCUAGAUAUUUAAGGUUCUUGUGACAGCUUAUAUGCUCCAAGAACUUCACCAGAAAAGUAGAUUAUGAGAAAUAAACGCAUAUGUGAACCUUGUGGUAAUGGUUCACUGGAAUUGGGAUAAGUUUGAGCACAUAUAGCAUUGUGCGAUUUGUCUUCUUUAUCAGCAUUUUGGCUCUUUAAACAACUUAUGAACUAGAUCACCAGUUCAAAACUAAUGAAGUUUUACUAAAUUAAUCUGUAAGAAGGAUUUACAGAUCUCUAGUUUUAAAUUAGAUUGUCAAAAUACUUUGUUCCCCGCACUUCAAAAAUUUGAGUCAUAUUUAGGUUUAACUUACACAGGAGAAUUCCUUUUUUUUGGAAUUCAGACUAUCUCUCCAGUCAAAUACUAAGGUGUCAUAUAAAUCAAAAUAAUUUGUUUUAGUGUAUUACAUAAUGUUACCACGAAAUCCAGAGUAAGAGAAGUUUGUCUUACAAACAUUGAAGAAAUGGGAUGUUGGUGUAAAUUCAAAACAAAAAUGGGGAUUUCCAUGCUAAGGUAGACCCCAAAACAAUUGAAAAUGAUAAUCUCAUGAAAUAACAAAGAUGGUGAUAUGAAAGUUUACUAAGUAAGAUAAAGGUGCAAUUAAGGAGCUCAAGUGAUGUGGAAACUCGUAGAUGCCAAAUUGAUAAUUUGAUGCACUCAUGCUAAAUAGUACUAAUUCACUCUUAAAAGCUGGAAUUGGAGCCACUGCUAGAAGUUCCAUGAAGUUCAGUUCAAUUGUUAUAUUUAUUACGUAAUAUUAUUAUGCUUUUGGAAAAAGUAAUAUACAUGAACGAAAAUACUUGGUAUGUAGUGAAUACAACAUUAUAAUGUAGUUGUCUACCAAAAAUUUAAAUACACACAAUAAAAUAAUGCAUAUCUAUUCAAAUUAUGUAUCAGAAAAGAGUUAAAUAUUGCUCUAAGGAUAAAAAAUUAAGUGAUUAUAUAAUUGUUUUGAACGCUAUUUUUAGGAAAAUCAUUAUAUAGCAUCUUAGUGAUAACUGCUUUUGUGAUAUUAAAAGAUGUUAGAAAUAAUUCCUGAAAUUAAUCUGGUUAAAAAACGCUCCAUUCAAACAGAAAAUUCAUGUCCUUUUUUUUCUUUUUUGGUCUUUCGUAGAGGUAAUCCACAAAUUGGACACUUACGAAAAAGCAUUGGAACAUUGAUUGAAAGAACAACGAGGGAUGAGAACUGACUGAAAUUAUGCAGGAGGAUUAUGGACAGAUCCGCAUCUUUUGAAUCAUUCCUAGGAUACAAAACAAGACCAUCAACAUCCCUAAAAUUUCUAUGUAGAAAUUUGUUGAAAUAUCAACACUUCCAUGCAAAAUCAUAGCAACCAAUUCACCUAUAUAAACCCCCUGGCUGUGGCAUCUCCAAACCACAACAGCUACCAGUUGAAUUGGAAGGUUUUGAAGCACCAUGAAUUUCACCUACACUUUGUCACUUUUGGUUUUGUGCCUAGCUUUAUACUUAACCUUCACCAAUAGCUGCAAAUUUCAACAUUAACAAAAUAAACACAUAAAACAAUUAAACCUUUACCAUGUAUUCUCUUUUACUUAUUGAUCGGUCACAUCAUGAAAUACAAAAGGAUUAUAGAAUUACUUACUUAUAUAAAUAUAUUCCAGGGUAAUGUUAUCUAUUCCAUAUGAUUGAUGAAAAGCGAAAAUGACUUGCCUGUCUUUCUUCGUCAGAAGAGUACCUAAUAGCCGCACUAGAAUUGCCAGCACAAAUAAGAAAUAAAAUGCUGUAAAACCAAAAAGAGCAGUGCAGCCACUGUUGGCUUCUAAAUAUCAGCAUAGUGAUUGUUAUGGCUACAACAACUAACCACCCGAAAACAUGUUUUAACUUUUCCUUAAAGUUGUGACUUAAAUGUUCAACAUCUUAAUGUAAGAGGAAGGAUUCAAUUCCCAGACCUCUUACUUGCACUCCCUCCCCUUUAAACUAUUCAACUCAUCUCAUCCCCGAGUUGUAUGUAUAUUGACUUGUCUUGUUAUAUUAAUUAAUAUCUUUUAACGUUGGAAAGGAAAUACAAAAAGUUUAAACUAUAGUGAUGAUUGACUAAUUUUUGUGAGAUCUGAAUUGCCAUGUGCAAUACCUUGAAGGUGUAAAUUGACCUACCCACCUUCCAUCUUUUACUACUGCUGGGCAAUUAAAAUAAUUUUUCUUUGUUCAAUAUAAUAGUGGAAUUGGUAAGAAUUAGGAGAGUAUUUCUAUUUCUAGUCUAAGAAAAUUGAACAAAUUUGACAAAUUUCAGUUUAAAAAUAUUGACAAAUUAUCACUGCCCGAUACGGGCCCAGUCCAUCUAAAACACGCUUGAAGCACAGAGCAGAUUGAUUUGGUGGUUUCCGGUUGGGCUUCCGGUCCUUGAUCCGCGUCUAUUAACGAAUUCGUAUUGUCAAUAUUGGGCCGUAUAAUCCACCAGCCCAUGGAAUUUAAUUUAGGAAAAUAAAUUUCUUUUAAGUUGUGAAUUUAAUUAGUAGAACGAGAAACAAUUCAGAAAAUUAGUAUAAAGUACAAACCAUAUAGUACAUGUUUUUCUCAAUAAAAUACCAAUUAUGACUAGCUUAAGGAAUUGAUAAAUAAUUCAUCUUUGUUCAGCUUUUCCUUUUGGGUGAUUCCCAUUAAUAAAAUCAUCUUUGUUCUCUCAAAAAAAAAGAAAAGAAAAGAAAAGAAAGAAAGAAACGAACUCCAUCCUUUUAAGUGGUAAAUAAAAUGAAUAAAAAGAAAAAUGCAAAUAAAUAUCUUAACACUGCAAAAAAGAAAUUGAUAUUGAAACAUACUGAUAUUUAAGAAGUUUUUAUAAAUUUUGGCAUCACCUACAGAUAAAAUGAUAUCUCUGUAAUGUGCCUUUUAUUAACUAUAAAAAAAAAAUACGUUACAGAGGUUCCAGUGGCAGAGGUAGAAAUACUUUUCAGUUGGGGCACGAAUUAACUUUCCCAAUUUUUUUCCAAUUUACAAGUGGCUAAUAAUAACAAAAGAUUAUUUUUUUAAAGGAUCAAAUCUAAUAGACUGAUAAACCACCACUGCUUUGUUAAUGAAAAAUGCAAAGCUAUGGGCCAAGGUAAGGUAAAUAUGCAAGCAAAAGUACGUUGGAACUUGGCAUCUAAAGAUUUGCAGCUAUUUGCUUUCUUCUUUGUUUACGUUUUGAUAAAUUAUACAAUAAUGACUAUGCUAUAUAAUAACUAUUUCAAAAUCCAGCCAAGGCACAAUUUAGAAUUUUCAAGAAAUCUCAAAACUAUUCUAGGUACCUCAUUUGGGUCAAUAGGGAUAUGUGCCCCAUUGGCCACAACGUAAAUCUACCCUUUUUUUUAGUAAAAAAAGUUUGGGUGAAUUUGAUUUCGAUUAUCGUCACGGGUCAAAAUCUGUUUCCGGAACUAUAAGUCGCUUGCAGAAGUUCUUAUAAAUCACCCAACAACAGAGACCUCACAAUGUAAAUCCACUUAUAGGUUCUUAGUUCGACGAUCUGAAGCUUUCCUUUGCCAUAAUAAAGCAUGAACUACAUUCAAACUGCAUUCCUUACACUGGGCACAAGUAGCAGUAAAUGAAUUUUGAUUGAAUAUGAAUUUAGCAUUUUAGGCUUGUAGCAACCAGAAAUGCUAUUCUGGAAAGUUGCCAAAACUAAAGUUUAAGCACAAAAAACUGCUUGAACACUUCACGAAACUGCCCAAAUUGGGCUUUUAAUUUUUUUUCUCCAAUUACUUGAGUAACCUCUACGAAAUCCUGGAAUAGAAACUCUUGUUCUACUUGAUAUCCUGAUUGAAUUGUCUAAGCUUCUUGAAGCUAUUUGCCUAACAUUCGCUGGUCUCAGACUUGAGUAGGAAGACAAACAGACGUAUGGUCAUGAUUUGUGCCCAUUCGGCUGCACCAAAAUCUUGUUGAAACUCUAGACUAAGAGGAAGAUUCCAAAGAAAAAUAUCAAAACAGAAGACUUUAGGAGUUACGAAAUUGGCAUUUAGUCUCCUUGGGUGUGGAAUUUGAAAUCAUCAUCAAUACUAACAUGUUGAUAUUGACUACCUCACAACAGAAAGUUAUCGCGAAAAUAAUUAGAUGCUAAUACCAAACGUUUUAAUCUCUAACCAUCAUUUCUUAUGUUAAACAUAGGUUUUAGCGUAGCUAAUCAAUAUAUGUACAAUUGCUAAUUUUUUCCACUAAUUAAGUCAAAAGAUAAUUGUUUUGAAUGGUGUUUUUGCGAAAAUUCCAAUAAAAUAUUUUGUUAAUAAACACAUUUGAUAUUUUCAGAGAUGUUAGAUAGUGAUUCCUGAAAACAGUGAGGUUGAAAAAACAUUUCAACCAAACAGAUAAGUCAUGUCUGUUUCUUUUUUCUAUCUUAGAGAAUUGGACACUAAAGAAAAGAAAUUGUAACAUUGAUAUAUAGAACAGUCAAGUUCACAUCACCAGAAGAAUAAACAAUGGGGGAUGAGAUUAUGCAGAAUAUGGACGGAUAAGCAUCUUUGAAUCAUUCCUAGAAUACAAGAAAGGGCCAUCAACAUCUCUGAAAUUUCUCAUGUAGAAAAUUUGUUAAGAAGAUUAACAUGUACACGCAAAAUGAUAGCAGCCAAUCGCCCUAUAUAAACCCCCUACCUGUGGCAUCUUGAAACCACAGCCAGCUACUAAUUCACUUAGAAAGUUUGAAACACCAUGAAGUCCACCUACACUUUGUCCCUUUUGGCUUUAUGCCUAACUUUAUACUUAACCUUCACCAAUGCCGCAAAUUUCAACAUUAUAAACCAAUGUACCUACACAGUUUGGGCAGCUGCUUCCCCAGGCGGUGGCAGGCGGCUCGACCGAGGCCAAUCAUGGUCCCUAGACGUGGCUCCUGGCACCACCCAAGCUCGCAUUUGGGGCCGAACCAAUUGCAAC